This 696-nucleotide ribosomal RNA is filed under the name uncultured bacterium. RNAcentral's name for it is "bacterial SSU rRNA". It matches the Rfam family "Bacterial small subunit ribosomal RNA", at positions 32 to 715 of the family's 1533-position model. The record is from RNAcentral.
AACGCUAGCUACAGGCUUAACACAUGCAAGUCGAGGGGUAACAAGAGAAAAGCUUGCUUUUCUUGUUGACGACCGGCGCACGGGUGAGUAACGCGUAUGCAACCUGCCUAUCAGAGGAGAAUAACCCGGCGAAAGUCGGACUAAUACUCCAUAAAACAGGGGUCCCGCAUGGGAAUAUUUGUUAAAGAUUAAUCGCUGAUAGAUGGGCAUGCGUUCCAUUAGCUGGUUGGUGAGGUAACGGCUCACCAAGGCAACGAUGGAUAGGGGUUCUGAGAGGAAGGUCCCCCACACUGGUACUGAGACACGGACCAGACUCCUACGGGAGGCAGCAGUGAGGAAUAUUGGUCAAUGGGCGAGAGCCUGAACCAGCCAAGUCGCGUGAAGGAUGAAGGAUCUAUGGUUUGUAAACUUCUUUUAUACGGGAAUAAAGUUCAGGACGUGUCCUGUUUUGUAUGUACCGUUAUGAAUAAGCAUCGGCUAACUCCGUGCCAGCAGCCGCGGUAAUACGGAGGAUGCGAGCGUUAUCCGGAUUUAUUGGGUUUAAAGGGUGCGUAGGUGGUAGAUUAAGUCAGCGGUGAAAGUUUGUCGCUCAACGAUAAAAUUGCCGUUGAUACUGGUUUACUUGAGUAUAGUUGAAGUAGGCGGAAUGCGUGGUGUAGCGGUGAAAUGCAUAGAUAUCACGAAGAACUCCGAUUG